CUAAAGUCAUUUUUUCAGUUUUUAGAUACAAUGUUGACUCUUCGUUUUAUUUGAAAUUUUUUUACGAUUAAUAAUUUUUUUGUUACUAGAUGAUAAAAUAUAAAUAGUACUUUAUGCGUGACUAAUUUUUUUUAGUUUUUUGUAUAAAUUUUUUAAAUAAGACGAAUGGUCAAACGUUGGACACGGAAAA
RNAcentral lists this microRNA precursor (190 nucleotides) under Oryza brachyantha (malo sina). Its description in RNAcentral is "MIR812 microRNA precursor family". It matches the Rfam family "MIR812 microRNA precursor family". The record is from Rfam by way of RNAcentral. Lineage: Eukaryota; Viridiplantae; Streptophyta; Magnoliopsida; Poales; Poaceae.